GGAUCUGUGAUGGUUCUAUUUCUCAAAAAUAUUUCUUGAAAAGCUUAACAAAAUGAGUGACAACUCGAUACUGCCGUUCUCCUCAGUGAUGUUCC
Molecule: small nucleolar RNA, 95 nt
Organism: Sorex araneus (European shrew)
Lineage: Eukaryota; Metazoa; Chordata; Mammalia; Eulipotyphla; Soricidae
Product: small nucleolar RNA SNORD116
Exons: 1
Source: RefSeq, a predicted model, not a curated record